GAUGAACGCUGGCGGCGCGCCUAAUACAUGCAAGUCGAGCGAACAGACGAGGAGCUUGCUCCUCUGACGUUAGCGGCGGACGGGUGAGUAACACGUGGAUAACCUACCUAUAAGACUGGGAUAACUUCGGGAAACCGGAGCUAAUACCGGAUAAUAUAUUGAACCGCAUGGUUCAAUAGUGAAAGACGGUUUUGCUGUCACUUAUAGAUGGAUCCGCGCCGCAUUAGCUAGUUGGUAAGGUAACGGCUUACCAAGGCAACGAUGCGUAGCCGACCUGAGAGGGUGAUCGGCCACACUGGAACUGAGACACGGUCCAGACUCCUACGGGAGGCAGCAGUAGGGAAUCUUCCGCAAUGGGCGAAAGCCUGACGGAGCAACGCCGCGCGAGUGAUGAAGGUCUUCGGAUCGUAAAACUCUGUUAUUAGGGAAGAACAAAUGUGUAAGUAACUAUGCACGUCUUGACGGUACCUAAUCAGAAAGCCACGGCUAACUACGUG
This 497-nucleotide ribosomal RNA is filed under the name uncultured bacterium. Its description in RNAcentral is "partial 16S ribosomal RNA". It matches the Rfam family "Bacterial small subunit ribosomal RNA", at positions 28 to 507 of the family's 1533-position model. The record is from RNAcentral.